This 292-nucleotide ribosomal RNA is filed under the name uncultured prokaryote. RNAcentral describes it as "partial 16S ribosomal RNA". It matches the Rfam family "Bacterial small subunit ribosomal RNA", at positions 505 to 796 of the family's 1533-position model. The record is from RNAcentral.
GUGUCAGCAGCCGCGGUAAUACGGAGGGUGCAAGCGUUAAUCGGAAUAACUGGGCGUAAAGCGCACGCAGGCGGUUUGCUAAGCUAGAUGUGAAAGCCCCGGGCUCAACCUGGGAACUGCAUUUAGAACUGGCGAACUAGAGUCUUGUAGAGGGGGGUAGAAUUCCAGGUGUAGCGGUGAAAUGCGUAGAGAUCUGGAGGAAUACCGGUGGCGAAGGCGGCCCCCUGGACAGAUACUGACACUCAGAUGCGAAAGCGUGGGGAGCAAACAGGAUUAGAAACCCCAGUAGUCC